Cavia porcellus (domestic guinea pig) is the source of this 1155-nucleotide long non-coding RNA. RefSeq lists it as uncharacterized. Lineage: Eukaryota; Metazoa; Chordata; Mammalia; Rodentia; Caviidae. The record is from RefSeq and is a predicted model, not a curated record. The transcript has 2 exons.
GUGUGUGUGUGUAUGUGUUUCAUCUUGAUCAGUAUUUAUCAAUUUUGCUCCAAAUAUUUAUCAAUUUUAUUGAUAUUUUUAAUAGAUCAGCACUGUUUUUUUUUUUAAAUUUCAUUGACUCCCUUUUUUUCAAAUUUCCUUCUUCUCACCUUCUUGAUUUAAUUUAGCUUUGCAUGGUGGAAACCUAUAUCCUUAUUUUACAUCUUUCUUUUUGGAUUUUUCUGCCUGAAAUGUUAUUCAGAAAUUUAUCUCUUAAUUUCAGAAUAUUUGGAGAAUUUAGCAGAUAUGUUUUUAUCGACUGUAGCUUAAUUCUAGUCCUGUGCUUUCCAUCAGUUACUGAGAAGGGUGUUGGAAUCUCCUCCACACUGUGUCUUAGCCUAAUUUUCUUCUCAGCUGUAUCAGCUUCUGAUUCAUGUGUCUGAGGUGUGUGGAAAAUGAGAGGGGUACAUAUGUCACAGUGCAUCUCGCUGAUGACAUCCUCAAGGUUUACAGCGUUUUCUUUAACCCUGGUAAAUUGUUUGCCCUGCGCCUACUGUGUAUGGUAAAGUUCUCCGCCUUUCUUAGUAUGUUCAUGCCAUAUCCUUUUGUAGCUCUUCUUUUGUUUAUUUGUGUCUUUAUAUUUAAAGCACAUUUCUUUAAGUAUUAUUUUCUUGUUCUCUUAUGCAUACUGACAUCUCUGUCUUUUAAGAAUGGUGUUUAGAUAAUUUCUGUUUCUUAUAAAUAUGUCUAAUUAAACUUACCAGUUUUCUAAUUUUUUAUUUGCUGUUUCUUCUCCAUUAUUUUCCUUUUUCCAGCUCUCCUUUUGGCUACAUGUUCUUCAGGAUGGCUAUGGGACGUUCCAUGCCUGGGCCACAGCCCGAGCCAUCGGAGUUGAACGCCGGUUCCCAAGCGUGGGAGGUGAGGCGCGGUCCUCCUGUGGCUGCUGCCAGACUGCCGCUCGGAUGAAACCCAGGGUGUCACUCUCCACCGCUGAGCUGCACCCCAACCCUGAAGUUUCCUCCUUCUGCUUCAGGCUCCCCUCUCUACACACAGCACCUGCAGCGAGCUGGAGGCUGGGCUGCUCAUUUCCCUCUUAGCCGGCAUGCUGCUGGUUCGCUUUUUCUGUAUUCCUGUGUUGUAAUCCCGAGUACAUUGUUGUCUCUGCUUUAAACAGCC